Molecule: ribosomal RNA, 450 nt
Filed under: uncultured bacterium
Lineage: Bacteria
Description: partial 16S ribosomal RNA
Rfam family: Bacterial small subunit ribosomal RNA
Source: RNAcentral
CCUACGGGUGGCUGCAGUGAGGAAUAUUGCGCAAUGGCCGAACGGCUGACGCAGCGACGCCGCGUGAGGGAUGAAGUCCGUUAGGAUGUAAACCUCUUUUGCAGGGGAUGAAUGUCUCGCUAUACGCGGGAUUGACCGUACCCUGCGAAUAAGGAUCGGCUAACUACGUGCCAGCAGCCGCGGUAAUACGUAGGAUCCGAGCGUUGUACUGAAUUACUGGGGGUAAUGGGCGGGUAGCUAGGUCCGUGGUGAAAUCCCGCAGCUUAACUGCGGAAUUGCCUUCGAUACUGGGGAUCUUGAGUACGGCAGAGGGAGAUGGAAUUCAUGGUGUAGCGGUGAAAUGUGUAGAUAUCAUGAAGAACACCGGUAGCGAAGGCGGUCUCCUGGUCCGUAACUGACACUGAUGCGCGAAAGCGUGGGGAGCGAACAGGAUUAGAUACACGGGUAGUC